Molecule: transfer RNA, 84 nt
Filed under: Gammaproteobacteria bacterium
Lineage: Bacteria; Pseudomonadati; Pseudomonadota; Gammaproteobacteria
Description: tRNA-Leu
Rfam family: tRNA
About the family: Transfer RNA (tRNA) molecules are approximately 80 nucleotides in length. Their secondary structure includes four short double-helical elements and three loops (D, anti-codon, and T loops). Further hydrogen bonds mediate the characteristic L-shaped molecular structure. tRNAs have two regions of fundamental functional importance: the anti-codon, which is responsible for specific mRNA codon recognition, and the 3' end, to which the tRNAs corresponding amino acid is attached (by aminoacyl-tRNA synthetases). tRNAs cope with the degeneracy of the genetic code in two manners: having more than one tRNA (with a specific anti-codon) for a particular amino acid; and 'wobble' base-pairing, i.e. permitting non-standard base-pairing at the 3rd anti-codon position.
Source: RNAcentral
GCCCGGGUGGCGAAACGGUAGACGCAGGGGACUUAAAAUCCCCCGGCCUUGGCCGUGCCGGUUCGAGUCCGGCCCCGGGCACCA